GAGGGCUGUGAACGCGGGGAGCGGCGAGAGAGCGGCCGGGGCUGCGGGCGGAGCGGGGCCGGGGGCUGGCGGGACCCCGUCGGGGAUCGGGACCGGGACAAGGACUGGGAUCGGGCCCCGGAUCAGAGCCUGCCCGCCCCGCCCCGUCCCGCAGCUCGCUGCAGUUGCGGGGUCGCCAAACGCCGUCCGGAAUGGCAGCCGAGCCUGCAAGCACAUCAUGAAGUCUGGAGAUGCUUCAAAUGGCUGACAAAGGGUUGUUGACCUGCAGCUGCCUCAAAAGAGAAAUCCAUGCUGGUCUGGCACCAGGUGCCCUGAUAUUAAUUUCAAGGACUCCCUGCAGAGUCCUCCAGAGGGGGAUAAACUUUGGGGAGGAAGAUUCAGUGGAAGCACAGAUCCAAUCAUGGAGAUGCUCAAUGCUUCCAUUUCCUAUGAUCAGAGACUGUCUGAAGUUGAUAUUCAGGGGAGC
Molecule: long non-coding RNA, 466 nt
Organism: Lepidothrix coronata (blue-crowned manakin)
Lineage: Eukaryota; Metazoa; Chordata; Aves; Passeriformes; Pipridae
Exons: 4
Source: RefSeq, a predicted model, not a curated record